ACGGCAGCACGGGGGCAACCCUGGUGGCGAGUGGCGAACGGGUGAGUAACAUAUCGGAACGUGCCCUAGAGUGGGGGAUAACUAGUCGAAAGACUAGCUAAUACCGCAUACGAUCUACGGAUGAAAGUGGGGGACCGCAAGGCCUCAUGCUCGUGGAGCGGCCGAUAUCUGAUUAGCUAGUUGGUGGGGUAAAGGCCUACCAAGGCAUCGAUCAGUAGCUGGUCUGAGAGGACGACCAGCCACACUGGGACUGAGACACGGCCCAGACUCCUACGGGAGGCAGCAGUGGGGAAUUUUGGACAAUGGGCGCAAGCCUGAUCCAGCAAUGCCGCGUGAGUGAAGAAGGCCUUCGGGUUGUAAAGCUCUUUUGUCAGGGAAGAAACGGCGGGGACUAAUAUUUCCUGCUAAUGACGGUACCUGAAGAAUAAGCACCGGCUAACUACGUGCCAGCAGCCGCGGUAAUACGUAGGGUGCAAGCGUUAAUCGGAAUUACUGGGCGUAAAGCGUGCGCAGGCGGUUGUGUAAGUUUGACGUGAAAUCCCCGGGCUUAACCUGGGAAUGGCGUUGAAGACUGCACGGCUAGAGUGUGUCAGAGGGGGGUAGAACUCCACGUGUAG
RNAcentral lists this ribosomal RNA (617 nucleotides) under uncultured bacterium. RNAcentral describes it as "bacterial SSU rRNA". It matches the Rfam family "Bacterial small subunit ribosomal RNA", at positions 66 to 678 of the family's 1533-position model. The record is from RNAcentral.